GGGGCAGCGGGGGAGAGGACAGGGACUAGCCUCCUGGGCCAGGAGCUCAAGGGCUGGGCAGGAGGGUCCUGCGGGCCGGAUGUGGCCCGCAGGCCGUAGUUUGCCCACCUCUGCUGUAGGCCCAUCUAUGGGGCAGAUUUUCAGUCACCACAGAUCUGAAUUGUAAAAGUUCCUGAAAUAUAGACUUACAAAGGAAAAAAGUUACAUGUCAGGAAGUAAAUGCCACACUCAUUUCACGCUCACAGGAGCAAAUUUACAGGGAUACCAGAGCACAUGAAGCUGCACCUGGCUGGAAGAGGGGUGAGAUGGGGGACUUCAGUAGGGAAAAAAUCUUAGGUUCCAAAGUCUUGAAGUGCCUUCUGUCUGGAGCUCUGCUGAAAGUUCUGAGAAAUCUUUGAAGCUGGGGCCAUGGGGAUGAAAAGGAAGACUAAAGCUGCAUAUUAUAUCUCAGCCCUUUGGAGACAGGUGUUCCCAGAGAGCCUCAUCCCAGUAACUGAUCCAGCCCAAAACCUGCUCAGCUCUAUGCGACAGGAUCAUUGCACAAGGUGACAUGACUGUGAGCACUAACAAGCCGUUACACUUUACUGGGUCACAUUUCAUAUACCAUAUAACUUUUAUGGGAAGAUUUAGGUUUUAAAAGGAGCAUUUAAAAUUCAGUCUACAUGAAUCCCAACCACUCAAGCAGAUGUGUUUGAAAUACAAGUCGUCCAAGUGCCCACCUCUCACACUCCCAGCUAAGCUAGCCCAUCACUUUCCUGGGAACACACCUUCUUGGCGACUGAUCCUUCCCCCAGAACACAGUUUCUCUCUGGGCAUUCACAAGUGAUUUUUGCAGGUUCCACUUUGGCAGGAAAUACGUAGAGGCAUCUUUCCCCGAGUUGCCUCUGUGCAUGGUCGAAGCACCCCAGACGCUUUACUCUGUUAAGAGUGAGAAGAUGAAAACCGUCACCUCCCCAGUCAGCCUCAGAGCAAGAGAUAAUGAACACCCUAGCGAUGAGUAGUACCUCCACAUAGUUAGCGGGUGCAUAUGCUGAUGCACACCAGUCCUGUACAUAUGCUGAUGUAUGUGAGAUCCAUGUGGGUGGCACUAAUUAAAAUGGGACCAAUUUUGCAUUACAACUAACAUUUCCCAGGAGACUAGAAUUCUUUAGGUUAGUCUCUCUCAUACACACACAGAGAUGUAAGGGAAGAGCUAUAGAGUAUUUCCAGGCCACCUGGGAACUGGGAGGAGAAGAGUAGCCAUCUCCUCCACAUACAAGGCCUAGUUACUCUUGUCAACCUCCCAGAGAGAAUUAAAAAUUUUGCUUUUUCUUUCCAUAGGCUGAGAACUCCUGCUCCUGAAGCUACCUUCAGAUGGGAUUGCACUGCUCUGUUCUCCUACAGAGUUCCAAAACUCACCUACCCUCUUUCCUCACUUCAACAGAGCACCUUAUGGCUAACAUGCAUACCCUGUGGCCUGCAAGGGGCAUCAGAUGCUCCGCAACACUGGCACUGCUCCUUGGCUGGCCAAGCAAUGUUAGCUGCCUUCCCCUCCCACUUCUGAAAUAGAGCUUGGAGCUGUAGGAUUCAAAGGUUCAGUCCACUGCAGCUAAAUGAGGGACAGAAGGGGAAGAGGAAUUUGGAUGCUUUCUCCCUGCUGUUCAGCUGGGGAGCAUUUCUAUUGGAGGAGAGCUUGUGACGCCAGCCCUUCUACCAUUAAACUUAAAACCUCCACUGGCCAGUCAGAUGAUGCUCCCUGAGGCUGGGAGACAGGAAAUGGCUGGAGUAAAGCUCCCUACGUAGGGUGCUGAUGACAAAGUUGGAUUUCUUAUGUUUAUUUGCUGGAAGAAGGGCAUGUUAUCCACUGACUGCCCUGGCAUCUUAGGAUGGUGGGGAACAUGGGUACUUUAAGCAGAUCUCACCUGGACAAGUUCUCCUGCGUGAUUACCGAAGGUGGGGGACUUACACUGUCAGUACCUCCAGGACAGAAACUUUUAGUGAUCCAAGUAACCUUUAGUUCCACCACUUGUACCUGAAAAAUGAAGAAGAGGAACAGGAAGAAGAACAUCACUUUUUCUGGGAACUUUACUGAAUCAGAUUCCAAAGCUUAUGGAUUCUCAACAUGGAAAAUGGUUUUCACUUCUAGAUGGCUGGACCUAGCCCCUGGAUUUUUAAGAAAAACAGCCGUGGUCGGCUUCUAAUUGUGCUUCCGCACUGGUUAAGAGUUAAUUGCAUUCAUCAUGCUUCUAUAGUGCUCAAAUACAACAACUGUCUCAGGGGGUUCCAGUUCUUUCAGGAAGAUUGUCCCUGUUCCCAUAGUAAGUAGCCAUGUGUCUGCUCACUAACCUCUUCCACCACCACUCUGAACUUGCUCUUUGUGCUCAAGACAGGCUUCACACCUGAAAGCCACUGCACACUGGAGAAGACUUUUGAGGGACCAAUGAGGACUUGCCCAGGAUAAAAGCCGUAUGAGUCAUCAAAGAAAAGGCCCUGAAAGAAAACGGCAGCAUAAGGGUACUGUGUGUCAGAGAGCAGCUAAUGCCUGAAAACAUUCUGUUGUGAUGACAUGGGAUUUCUGCAUUUCUCUUCCCUCGUUCUUGAUCACUAAGGAUAUCUUUAAGCGAAGAGACCUGUUUGCAAGUUCCCUUGCUUCUAUGCAUCAUUCCUUUGCUGAAGUCAUCACAUCAGUUUCUAUAGCAACACACUGAAUAUCACACAUUCACAAACAAUGGAUUUCAAUUUAGUGGGGAAGAGGCAGAGGUAAUCGCAAAGAACAAUUAUCUUGAUUUCAUGCAAAUGUUUUUAGUAACAAAUAGUGUGGUCUAAGCACUGGGGUGGACAACAGGAACCCCUGAUUUCUUAUACCUGCUCUCACAAGGACAUUAAUGGCUUCUGGCAAGUCACUGAACUUCUCUUCCUCUGCUUCCCCAGUUGCAAAAUGGGAGUAAUAUUGCACAUGUACCUGAAGGCCCUGUUAGGCAGAUUUACCUAAUACUCAUAGAUUUUUGUAAAUAAAGCUCUAGGAACUAACCAUUUACCUUCUGGGCAACCUUUGUUCAUGACAAUUGGGGUGACACCGAGCUGGGGAUGCGGCAUGGCUCAGGGGUUUUAGAUAGCAAUCUGAUUCAUGUGUUCAAAUUUUUGUACUGAUCAUCAUUUAAAAUCUUGCAAUUUGUCAAGGGUACAUAAGAUUAGUGCUGUAGGAUAUAAAUCAUAAGUGCCAAGAAUACAUAUAGGAGUACUGAGCACUAACUUAACGGUAAUGAGAAAGAACAAAAGGAGAGACGUUUUCAAAAGCGACUUGUGAUUGAAUGCCUCAGCUGGACACACCUUGAACUUCAGAGGCCUAAUUCUACGAAAGUACAAAAAGCCACGCUCUGGAAAUCCUGCCCCUUUAAAGGGCAUCUCAAGUCAGGCACCCAAAAUCACCAGUCACCUCUGAAAAAUGUAGGCCACGAUACAGUAAAGAGGCUGAACUUGUUCUGCAUUGAGAAGCAAUUUACACUUUGGGAUCAGAUGUUAGAGAUACUGGACAGCAAUUAGAUUGAGACUCUCCUCAAUCCAUGGACAAUGAAAUCCUGCAGGAAAAGACACCACAUUAAACUGACAUCACUUGAUCGUCAGCAGAGACAUCACAUUCUUUAAGGAAUCUGGUGGCAGAGCACUAGGAUUUUGCCUAACUCUAGGAUGCUGGCAGAAUUUCCAUAGGAUGAGGCCCACUGUAUCAACAAAAUAAAGAGCCUUUACACUGUAGGCAAUUCCUACAGCCAUACCCAUCAAUAAAGAAACUUUAGAAUAGUAUUGAAUGACAGGAUCUAAGAGGAAAAGCCAAUUACUGCACAGCUUCUGAAGGUUUAAAUCUAUCACACAGUGGAUUUUGUGUUCUCAGCCUGGUUAUUAGUAGACAACUCUCCAGAGUGCACAGUCUGGGACAAUUCAGCAAGAAUAGCAGUGUCCACUAAAAUAGCAAAAGCUGAUGCAGGUCAGGAUUAGAGAGGCAUACCAUCAAUUUUAUUAUUAAAAAUUAAUUUUGAAACAUUCUGAUUUCUGACAGAGCACCCUUAAAAUGGCAUGCUUUUUUGUUAUUCCAUCAAACAUUUUUAGAAGGGUUCUUCCAUCCUCUGUUGAUGUUCAUUAGUGUCUUUUCAAGCAGGGUGACUAUAACGAGGAUCAGUGAAACCAACUGUACUUUGUGUAAGACACUUGAAAAGGUAUUGUCCACUAGCUUCUUUCAGUUAGUGAUCUCGCAUGCUAUUUUUUUUUUUUUUUACACUCCAUGCAUCUGAAGAAGUGGGUUUUUUAUCCACAAAAACUUAUGCCCAAAUAAAUCUGUUAGUCUUUAAAGUGC
Chelonia mydas (Green sea turtle) is the source of this 4327-nucleotide long non-coding RNA. RefSeq lists it as uncharacterized. The record is from RefSeq and is a predicted model, not a curated record. NCBI's taxonomy places the organism in Eukaryota, Metazoa, Chordata, Testudines, Cheloniidae. The transcript is spliced from 2 exons.